UACGGAGGGGGCGGGCGUAUUCGGAAUUAUUGGGCGUAAAGGGCGCGUAGGCGGCCUGGCGCGUCGGCUGUGAAAUCUCCCGGCUCAAUUGGGAGGGGACGGCCGAUACGGCUGGGCUUGAGCGAGGUAGGGGAGAGUGGAAUUCCCGGUGUAGUGGUGAAAUGCGUAGAUAUCUGGAGGAACACCGGUGGCGAAGGCGGCAUCCUGGACCGGCAUUGACGCUGAGGCGCGAAAGCCAGGGGAGCAAACGGG
RNAcentral lists this ribosomal RNA (252 nucleotides) under uncultured bacterium. RNAcentral describes it as "partial 16S ribosomal RNA". It matches the Rfam family "Bacterial small subunit ribosomal RNA", at positions 524 to 776 of the family's 1533-position model. The record is from RNAcentral.